Molecule: ribosomal RNA, 497 nt
Filed under: uncultured bacterium
Lineage: Bacteria
Description: partial 16S ribosomal RNA
Rfam family: Bacterial small subunit ribosomal RNA
Source: RNAcentral
GAUGAACGCUGGCGGCGUGCCUAAUACAUGCAAGUCGAGCGAACGGACGAGAAGCUUGCUUUUCUGAUGUUAGCGGCGGACGGGUGAGUAACACGUGGAUAACCUACCUAUAAGACUGGGAUAACUUCGGGAAACCGGAGCUAAUACCGGAUAAUAUUUUGAACCGCAUGGUUCAAAAGUGAAAGACGGUCUUGCUGUCACUUAUAGAUGGAUCCGCGCUGCAUUAGCUAGUUGGUAAGGUAACGGCUUACCAAGGCAACGAUGCAUAGCCGACCUGAGAGGGUGAUCGGCCACACUGGAACUGAGACACGGUCCAGACUCCUACGGGAGGCAGCAGUAGGGAAUCUUCCGCAAUGGGCGAAAGCCUGACGGAGCAACGCCGCGUGAGUGAUGAAGGUCUUCGGAUCGUAGAACUCUGUUAUUAGGGAAGAACAUAUGUGUAAGUAACUGUGCACAUCUUGACGGUACCUAAUCAGAAAGCCACGGCUAACUACGUG